AAGGUAUCUGAGAAGUGAUAGUUCGUUUGAUGUAAUUUCCUUAGAGUAAUCUCGUGAAUAAUGUGCUUGUUAUGUGAGAAUUAAUUAAUUGUAACAUGCUUACAUGAGAUCUUUGGUGAUUCAUUUUUUAAUGAGUACAAUUUUGAGUAAUUUGAUUUAGAUUCUGUUUAGUAACAACAAUAGUACUGAAGGAGGCAAAGA
Molecule: long non-coding RNA, 201 nt
Filed under: Lupinus angustifolius (narrow-leaved blue lupine)
Lineage: Eukaryota; Viridiplantae; Streptophyta; Magnoliopsida; Fabales; Fabaceae
Description: long non-coding RNA (LANG_LNC002129)
Source: RNAcentral